CAACCAUCAAGCCCCCAGGCUUGUGUUGGGGGCCUGCGGCUGCCGCAGCCCCCUAAAAGCAGUGGCGGACUCGCUGUCAUUCCGAGCGCAGUAGUUACAUCUCGCUCUGGGCGUGGCGGCGGGCGCCUGCCGUGAAACACUUCUAA
This 146-nucleotide unclassified non-coding RNA is filed under the name uncultured Lasiosphaeriaceae. RNAcentral's name for it is "sequence contains ITS2". Lineage: Eukaryota; Fungi; Ascomycota; Sordariomycetes; Sordariales; Lasiosphaeriaceae. The record is from RNAcentral.